CAGCAGUCGCCGCGGGAAUACAGAGGGUGCGAGCGUUAAUCGGAUUUACUGGGCGUAAAGCGUGCGUAGGCGGCUUUUUAAGUCGGAUGUGAAAUCCCUGAGCUUAACUUAGGAAUUGCAUUCGAUACUGGGAAGCUAGAGUAUGGGAGAGGAUGGUAGAAUUCCAGGUGUAGCGGUGAAAUGCGUAGAGAUCUGGAGGAAUACCGAUGGCGAAGGCAGCCAUCUGGCCUAAUACUGACGCUGAGGUACGAAAGCAUGGGGAGCAAACAGGAUUAGAGACCCCCGUAGUCCCUGUCUCUUAUAC
This 304-nucleotide ribosomal RNA is filed under the name uncultured bacterium. RNAcentral's name for it is "partial 16S ribosomal RNA". It matches the Rfam family "Bacterial small subunit ribosomal RNA", at positions 509 to 807 of the family's 1533-position model. The record is from RNAcentral.